Long non-coding RNA from Limulus polyphemus (Atlantic horseshoe crab), 1483 nucleotides. RefSeq lists it as uncharacterized. The transcript is spliced from 2 exons. Lineage: Eukaryota; Metazoa; Arthropoda; Merostomata; Xiphosura; Limulidae. The record is from RefSeq and is a predicted model, not a curated record.
GUGCAAGACAAGAUUUUCAGGGUGUUGCUGUUAACCGAACUGUAGGAAGAAGCAUUGAAACUGUCUGAUUACACAGUUGACUACUACACGUUCAGCACAUCUUAAUCCGUCACCCUGAAGAAUGGAGGUUCGAAAGCAGUAUCCACACGCUUUCACUCGGUUGACCACGUCAACUACAUUAGUCUUUGAAUUCCAAAAGCAGUUGAAAGAUAUUAAACCAUUUGAAGCAGUGUCCACGUCAUUAUAUUUACCCUUCACAGGUACGAAAUUAUGAACCCUCUGAAAGUGUUCAUAUUGUCAUAAAAUUUAAUUUUAAGCACAAUUCAAGAAAUUACAGUUUUUUUUAACAAUAUAUUUAAUUCUGUUUUAUGUAUUUUCUCUUUAAGAAGCACCGCUGAUGUUCAGAUUAUCUGUGGAUUUCUUUGAGUUUUUGUUUAGCAUAAUGUACAAUGUUUGUUUUAUAUAUGUUUUAUAAUGAGGUGAAUAAAUAAUCUUACAAGCUUGUUUCAUGUUUAUGUUCCUGUCUUACAAACUUGUUUAUGUUCCUGUCAUACAAACUUGUUUCAUGUUUAUGUUCCUGUCUUACAAACUUGUUUAUGUUCCUGUCUUACAAACUUGUUUCAUGUUUAUGUUCCUGUCUUACAAGCUUGUUUAUGUUCCUGUCUUACAAACUUGUUUCAUGUUUACAUUUCUGUCUCACAAACUUGUUUCAUGUUUAUGUUCCUGUCUCUCAAACUUGUUUCAUGUUUAUGUUCCCAUCUUACAAGCUUGUUUCAUGUUUAUGUUCCUGUCUUACAAACUUGUUUAUGUUCCUGUCUUACAAGCUUGUUUCAUGUUUAUGUUCCUGUCUUACAAACUUGUUUCAUGUUUACAUUCCCAUCUUGCAAGCUUGUUUCAUGUUUAUGUUCCUGUCUUACAAGCUUGUUUCAUGUUUAUGUUCCUGUCUUACAAGCUUGUUUCAUGUUUACAUUCCCAUCUUACAAGCUUGUUUAUGUUCCUGUCUCACAAACUUGUUUCAUGUUUAUGUUCCUGUCUCUCAAACUUGUUUCAUGUUUAUGUUCCCAUCUUACAAGCUUGUUUCAUGUUUAUGUUCCUGUCUUACAAACUUGUUUCAUGUUUACAUUCCCAUCUUGCAAGCUUGUUUCAUGUUUAUGUUCCUGUCUUACAAGCUUGUUUAUGUUCCCGUCUUACAAGCUUGUUUCAUGUUUACAUUCCCAUCUUGCAAGCUUGUUUCAUGUUUAUGUUCCCAUCUUGCAAGCUUGUUUCAUGUUUAUGUUCCAAUCUUGCAAGCUUGUUUCAUUACUUUUGUCAUCAUUAGAAUGACAGGUAUGGACAAGACUGGCUGGUCCUGUCAUUACUUUUGUCAUCAUUUAGAAUGACAGGUAUAGACAAGACUGGCUGGUCCUAUCAUUAAUAUUGUCAUCAUUAGAAUGACAGGUAUAGACAAGACUGGCUGGUUCUAUCAUUAAUAUUGUCAUCAUUA